RNAcentral lists this unclassified non-coding RNA (391 nucleotides) under soil metagenome. RNAcentral describes it as "partial contains 5.8S ribosomal RNA, internal transcribed spacer 2, and large subunit ribosomal RNA". The stretch from base 1 to 122 matches the Rfam family "5.8S ribosomal RNA", at positions 35 to 154 of the family's 154-position model. The record is from RNAcentral.
GAUGAAGAACGCAGCGAAAUGCUAUACUUGGUGUGAAUUGCAGAAUCCCGUGAACCAUCGAGUCUUUGAACGCAAGUUGCGCCCGAAGCCAUUAGGCCGAGGGCACGCCUGCCUGGGCGUCACACGUCGUUGCCCCCCCAUCUACUCCUUCGGGAUUGCGGGGGGCGGAUGAUGGCCUCUCGUGCGCCUCGUCGCGCGGUUGGCCUAAAUGCCAAGUCCUCGGCGACGCACGCCACGACAAUCGGUGGUUGCGAAACCUCGGUUGCCUGUCGUGUGCGGUCGUCGCGCAUCGAGGGCUCGAAAAAAUUGCCGGGCUUCGGCUCGACUUUCAACGCGACCCCAGGUCAGGCGGGGUUACCCGCUGAAUUUAAGCAUAUCAAUAAGCGGAGGA